UGUGAAGGUGUCUGAAUCUUGGUGGUUA
Molecule: non-coding RNA, 28 nt
Filed under: Mus musculus (house mouse)
Lineage: Eukaryota; Metazoa; Chordata; Mammalia; Rodentia; Muridae
Source: RNAcentral